Molecule: small nucleolar RNA, 67 nt
Organism: Hyla sarda
Lineage: Eukaryota; Metazoa; Chordata; Amphibia; Anura; Hylidae
Product: small nucleolar RNA U54
Exons: 1
Source: RefSeq, a predicted model, not a curated record
UGGCAAUGAGGAUGAUCUUUUUUCAAUGAUUCAAAGUGAUUGAUUUAUACGCUAUUCUGAGCCGACC